CCUCCGUAGGGGUAACCUGCGGAGGGAUCAUUACACAAAUAUGAAGGCGGGCUGGAAUCUCUCGGGGUUACAGCCUUGCUGAAUUAUUCACCCUUGUCUUUUGCGUACUUCUUGUUUCCUUGGUGGGUUCGCCCACCACUAGGACAAACAUAAACCUUUUGUAAUUGCAAUCAGCGUCAGUAACAAAUUAAUAAUUACAACUUUCAACAACGGAUCUCUUGGUUCUGGCAUCGAUGAAGAACGCAGCGAAAUGCGAUAAGUAGUGUGAAUUGCAGAAUUCAGUGAAUCAUCGAAUCUUUGAACGCACAUUGCGCCCUUUGGUAUUCCAAAGGGCAUGCCUGUUCGAGCGUCAUUUGUACCCUCAAGCUUUGCUUGGUGUUGGGCGUCUUGUCUCUAGCUUUGCUGGAGACUCGCCUUAAAGUAAUUGGCAGCCGGCCUACUGGUUUCGGAGCGCAGCACAAGUCGCACUCUCUAUCAGCAAAGGUCUAGCAUCCAUUAAGCCUUUUUUCAACUUUUGACCUCGGAUCAGGUAGGGAUACCCGCUGAACUUAAGCAUAUCAAUAAGCGGAGGAACC
Molecule: ribosomal RNA, 575 nt
Filed under: Alternaria brassicae
Lineage: Eukaryota; Fungi; Ascomycota; Dothideomycetes; Pleosporales; Pleosporaceae
Description: eukaryotic LSU rRNA
Rfam family: 5.8S ribosomal RNA (bases 199-352)
Source: RNAcentral